UGAGACAACAAUGAAUAAUAGCAACAUGUGCCAGGCACUGUACUAAGACUUGGCAACACAAAGAAAGGCAACAGAUGAUCUCUGAUCUCCAAGAACUCAUACUCUAAUGGAGAGACAACAUGCAGAUGAGGAAACUGAGGCCUGACAAGAUUAAGUGAAUCGCCUAAAAACAAACAUCUAGCAAGUAUCCUAGUUGAGAACCAAACAUCUAUGUCCUGGCUGCAAAUCUGGAUAACUGGUUUUAUGCCCACUUCAAAUUGUCAAGAGACAGCAUGGGUGAGAGAAAAGAGCAUGGACUGACUGGACUUGGCAUCAGAAGACAGAUUUGAAACCCUGGUCAGAAAUUACUGAAUUGUGAAAAUAGGCUUGUUGAGAGGGAAACAAUCUGGAAAUGUGAGCAAAAAAUGUACAAUGACAGUGCCUGAUUAGGCCAAGGCAGCCAUGGAGGUUGAUCAAUCAUCCUGGUAAAUUACACAGCUUUGUUUGGAAAUGAACUUCAGAAGACCAAGACCCUUUGGGUAUUUCUAAAGUGAAGUCUGCACACUAGUUUCAAGCAAUGGCUAUGGAGGGUUUCCCAGCUAUUGAGGUGUAUUAUGUGUGUUGGGAUACACAAGAUCCAGCUGAAGCUGGUGAGAUGAGGUCAGAGGGAUAGUAAUGAUGAUUAUGGAGAUCAAAAGACUGGUUUUACUUUUAAUAUGUCUGUUGGCUAAACUGCUACCCAUUUCUCCAAGCAGUUCUGGUUGAGUAAAGAAUUCCUUCACCAGAAGUUUGUGUUUAUGGGUUUAUCAAAUACUAGAAGCCUGCUAUUCACAUUUAUGUCUGUCUUACUUAUUUAACAUAUUCCAAGUCAAAAUCACUCAUGUAAUACUGGAUAGUUUUAAUAAUUAUUACUUUGCAAUAUAAUUGGAGAUCUGGUUGUACUCUUUCCUCCAUCUUUUUUUUUUCUUCCCAAUGGUUCACUUGAUGCUCAUAAUUUUUUUUU
Molecule: non-coding RNA, 982 nt
Organism: Phascolarctos cinereus (koala)
Lineage: Eukaryota; Metazoa; Chordata; Mammalia; Diprotodontia; Phascolarctidae
Source: RefSeq, a predicted model, not a curated record